Molecule: ribosomal RNA, 638 nt
Filed under: Archiminolia sp. 2 LS-2013
Lineage: Eukaryota; Metazoa; Mollusca; Gastropoda; Trochida; Solariellidae
Description: partial 12S ribosomal RNA
Source: RNAcentral
GACAAACGGAUCGAAUUAAAAUUAAUAAUAGUAAAAAAGGAGGUUAAGAAUUUAUUAUACGAAAAAUAAUGCUUUUUAGGGAGGUGGAAUUUAGAUAAAAUGAAGUAAUUUAGUUUUUUUCUUUUAUUUGAGGCCUCGAAAUUUUGUUUAUGAGACCGGGAUUAGAUACCCCGUUAUUCAAAAUGUAAACUUUGAUUGUUAUUUAUAAUUUACUUGAGUAUUACGAGUAUAAAUGGGGUGUGUUCUAAAUAUAUUUCUUAAAACUCAAAAAACUUGGCGGUGCCUUAUAUCCUUCCAGGGGAACCUGUCCUUUAAUCGAUAGUCCACGAUUUAACUUUCUUUCUUUUGAAUUGUAUUAAUCAGCUUGUAUACCGUCGUCGUCGGGUUAUCUUUAAGAGUUAUGAAGUUAUCAGUAAGAAUCAGAAGAGAUUUAAAUUUCGGUAGUUAUGUAGCUGGAAGUUGAUUUAUGUAUAUUCUAGACGUCAGAUCAAGGUGCAGCUUAUAGGGGAGUAGAGAUGGGUUACAAUAAUGAUUUAUUAUACGAAUUUUUUGUUGUGAGUAGCAAAAUUGAAGGAGGACUUGGAAGUAAUUAGUUUAAAGAUAAGAGAGCUUAAAUGAAAAUAGGCUCUGAGGUGCGC